GGGAAUAUUGGACAAUGGGGGAAACCCUGAUCCAGCGAAGCCGCGUGAGUGAAGAAGUAUUUCGGUAUGUAAAGCUCUAUCAGCAGGGAAGAAAGAAAUGACGGUACCUGACAAAGCAGNCACGGCAAAAGACGUGCCCGCAGCCGCGGUAAUACGUAGGGGGCAAGCGUUAUCCGGAUUUACUGGGUGUAAAGGGAGCGUAGACGGCAAUGCAAGUCAGAUGUGAAAGCCCGGGGCUCAACCGCGGGACUGCAUUUGAAACUGUGAUGCUGGAGUGCAGGAGAGGUAAGUGGAAUUCCUAGUGUAGCGGUGAAAUGCGUAGAUAUUAGGAGGAACACCAGUGGCGAAGGCGGCUUACUGGACUGUAACUGACGUUGAGGCUCGAAAGCGUGGGGAGCAAACAGG
This 405-nucleotide ribosomal RNA is filed under the name uncultured bacterium. RNAcentral's name for it is "bacterial SSU rRNA". It matches the Rfam family "Bacterial small subunit ribosomal RNA", at positions 357 to 776 of the family's 1533-position model. The record is from RNAcentral.